RNAcentral lists this ribosomal RNA (444 nucleotides) under uncultured bacterium. RNAcentral's name for it is "partial 16S ribosomal RNA". It matches the Rfam family "Bacterial small subunit ribosomal RNA", at positions 354 to 796 of the family's 1533-position model. The record is from RNAcentral.
GUAGGGAAUAUUGGGCAAUGGUCGGAAGACUGACCCAGCCAUGCCGCGUGCAGGAAGACGGCCCUCUGGGUUGUAAACUGCUUUUAUCUGGGAAGAAAAAGGCCAUGCGUGGCAAAUUGCCGGUACCAGAUGAAUAAGCACCGGCUAACUCCGUGCCAGCAGCCGCGGUAAUACGGAGGGUGCGAGCGUUGUCCGGAUUUAUUGGGUUUAAAGGGUGCGUAGGCGGCUGAUUAAGUCAGCGGUGAAAGACUUCGGCUUAACCGGAGCAGUGCCGUUGAUACUGGUUGGCUUGAGUGUCGGAGAGGUACAUGGAAUUGAUGGUGUAGCAGUGAAAUGCAUAGAUACCAUCAGGAACACCGAUAGCGAAGGCAUUGUACUGGCCGACAACUGACGCUGAUGCACGAAAGUGUGGGGAUCGAACAGGAUUAGAAACCCUGGUAGUCC